RNAcentral lists this transfer RNA (72 nucleotides) under Bos taurus (domestic cattle). It matches the Rfam family "tRNA". Rfam says of the family: Transfer RNA (tRNA) molecules are approximately 80 nucleotides in length. Their secondary structure includes four short double-helical elements and three loops (D, anti-codon, and T loops). RNAcentral also lists the same sequence under 5 other names. Lineage: Eukaryota; Metazoa; Chordata; Mammalia; Artiodactyla; Bovidae. The record is from Rfam by way of RNAcentral.
CCCUGAUUGGUCUAGUCAUUAAGACUCUGCUCUCCCAAUGCAGGGGGCAUGGGUUUGAUCCCUGGUCAGGGA